GGAUGAAGGCCUUCGGGUUGUAAACCUCUUUCAGUAGGGAAGAAGCCGGUCCUUCGGGGGUGGUGACGGUACCUGCAGAAGAAGCGCCGGCUAACUACGUGCCAGCAGCCGCGGUAAUACGUAGGGCGCAAGCGUUAUCCGGAAUUAUUGGGCGUAAAGAGCUCGUAGGCGGUUUGUCGCGUCUGCCGUGAAAGUCCGGGGCUUAACCCCGGAUCUGCGGUGGGUACGGGCAGACUAGAGUGCAGUAGGGGAGACUGGAAUUCCUGGUGUAGCGGUGAAAUGCGCAGAUAUCAGGAGGAACACCGAUGGCGAAGGCAGGUCUCUGGGCUGUAACUGACGCUGAGGAGCGAAAGCAUGGGGAGCGAACAGGAUUAGAUACCCUGGUAGUCCAUGCCGUAAACGUUGGGCACUAGGUGUGGGGGACAUUCCACGUUUUCCGCGCCGUAGCUAACGCAUUAAGUGCCCCGCCUGGGGAGUACGGCCGCAAGGCUAAAACUCAAAGGAAUUGACGGGGGCCCGCACAAGCGGCGGAGCAUGCGGAUUAAUUCGAUGCAACGCGAAGAACCUUACCAAGGCUUGACAUGAACCGGAAUGAUGCAGAGAUGUGUCAGCCACUUGUGGCCGGUUUACAGGUGGUGCAUGGUUGUCGUCAGCUCGUGUCGUGAGAUGUUGGGUUAAGUCCCGCAACGAGCGCAACCCUCGUUCCAUGUUGCCAGCGGGUUAUGCCGGGGACUCAUGGGAGACUGCCGGGGUCAACUCGGAGGAAGGUGGGGACGACGUCAAAUCAUCAUGCCCCUUAUGUCUUGGGCUUCACGCAUGCUACAAUGGCCGGUACAAAGGGUUGCGAUACUGUGAGGUGGAGCUAAUCCCAAAAAGCCGGUCUCAGUUCGGAUUGAGGUCUGCAACUCGACCUCAUGAAGUUGGAGUCGCUAGUAAUCGCAGAUCAGCAACGCUGCGGUGAAUACGUUCCCGGGCCUUGUACACACCGCCCGUCAAGUCACGAAAGUUGGUAACACCCGAAGCCGGUGGCC
This 1031-nucleotide ribosomal RNA is filed under the name Arthrobacter sp. RNAcentral describes it as "bacterial SSU rRNA". It matches the Rfam family "Bacterial small subunit ribosomal RNA", at positions 406 to 1435 of the family's 1533-position model. Lineage: Bacteria; Bacillati; Actinomycetota; Actinomycetes; Micrococcales; Micrococcaceae. The record is from RNAcentral.